GAAUUUUGCGCAAUGGACGAAAGUCUGACGCAGCGACGCCGCGUGGGCGACGAAGCUCUUUGGAGUGUAAAGCCCUGUCAGGUGGGACGAAUCCGGAGGGAGUGAAUAACUCGCCUUCGCUGACGGUACCCCCAGAGGCAGCCCCGGCUAACUCCGUGCCAGCAGCCGCGGUAAUACGGAGGGGGCGAGCGUUGUUCGGAAUCACUGGGUGUAAAGGGUGCGUAGGCGGUCCGAUAAGUCUGAUGUGAAAGCCCUGGGCUCAACUCAGGAACUGCAUUGGAAACUGACGGACUGGAGUACCGGAGAGGGAAGCGGAAUUCCUGGUGUAGCGGUGAAAUGCGUAGAUACCAGGAGGAACACCGGUGGCGAAGGCGGUUUCCUGGCCGAGUACUGACGCUGAGGCACGAAAGCGUGGGGAGCGAACGGG
Molecule: ribosomal RNA, 427 nt
Filed under: uncultured bacterium
Lineage: Bacteria
Description: bacterial SSU rRNA
Rfam family: Bacterial small subunit ribosomal RNA
Source: RNAcentral